This 497-nucleotide ribosomal RNA is filed under the name uncultured bacterium. Its description in RNAcentral is "partial 16S ribosomal RNA". It matches the Rfam family "Bacterial small subunit ribosomal RNA", at positions 28 to 507 of the family's 1533-position model. The record is from RNAcentral.
GAUGAACGCUGGCGGCGUGCCUAAUACAUGCAAGUCGAGCGAACGGACGAGAAGCUUGCUUCUCUGAUGUUAGCGGCGGACGGGUGAGUAACACGUGGAUAACCUACCUAUAAGACUGGGAUAACUUCGGGAAACCGGAGCUAAUACCGGAUGAUAUUUUGAACCGCAUGGUUCAAAAGUGAAAGACGGUCUUGCUGUCACUUAUAGAUGGAUCCGCGCUGCAUUAGCUAGUUGGUAAGGUAACGGCUUACCAAGGCAACGAUGCAUAGCCGACCUGAGAGGGUGUUCGGCCACACUGGAACUGAGACACGGUCCAGACUCCUACGGGAGGCAGCAGUAGGGAAUCUUCCGCAAUGGGCGGAAGCCUGACGGAGCAACGCCGCGUGAGUGAUGAAGGUCUUCGGAUCGUAAAACUCUGUUAUUAGGGAAGAACAUAUGUGUAAGUAACUGUGCACAUCUUGACGGUACCUAAUCAGAAAGCCACGGCUAACUACGUG